AUUUCUUGGAGAAAAUAACCUGAAUCUGCUAGCAGCUUUGAACAAGGGGAAGGGUUUAUGAGCUCUCUUCCCAAAAUAGGUCAUGCUAUUGUUUUGCUUUUGUUCUUACCUCAAGCCAAGUGAGGAAGGGAAGAUGGAUAAAUGUUUAGAGGAUCACGUAAUCAUUGCUUUGUGGCUUGAUAUUGAAGUCCUUGGAGGAGCUUUAUAGCCAA
Molecule: unclassified non-coding RNA, 212 nt
Filed under: Hevea brasiliensis (rubber tree)
Lineage: Eukaryota; Viridiplantae; Streptophyta; Magnoliopsida; Malpighiales; Euphorbiaceae
Source: RNAcentral